ACUCCUACGGGAGGCAGCAGUGGGGAAUUUUGGACAAUGGGCGCAAGCCUGAUCCAGCAAUGCCGCGUGAGUGAAGAAGGCCUUCGGGUUGUAAAGCUCUUUCAGUCGAGAAGAAAAGGCUGCAGUGAAUAACUGUAGUUUAUGACGGUAUCGACAGAAGAAGCACCGGCUAACUACGUGCCAGCAGCCGCGGUAAUACGUAGGGUGCGAGCGUUAAUCGGAAUUACUGGGCGUAAAGCGUGCGCAGGCGGUUCGUUAAGUCUGAUGUGAAAGCCCCGGGCUCAACCUGGGAAUGGCAUUGGAUACUGGCGGGCUUGAGUGUGGCAGAGGGGGGUGGAAUUCCGCGUGUAGCAGUGAAAUGCGUAGAGAUGCGGAGGAACACCGAUGGCGAAGGCAGCCCCCUGGGCUGACACUGACGCUCAGGCACGAAAGCGUGGGGAGCAAACAGGAUUAGAUACCCUGGUAGUC
This 468-nucleotide ribosomal RNA is filed under the name uncultured bacterium. Its description in RNAcentral is "bacterial SSU rRNA". It matches the Rfam family "Bacterial small subunit ribosomal RNA", at positions 335 to 795 of the family's 1533-position model. The record is from RNAcentral.